This 497-nucleotide ribosomal RNA is filed under the name uncultured bacterium. RNAcentral describes it as "partial 16S ribosomal RNA". It matches the Rfam family "Bacterial small subunit ribosomal RNA", at positions 28 to 507 of the family's 1533-position model. The record is from RNAcentral.
GAUGAACGCUGGCGGCGUGCCUAAUACAUGCAAGUCGAGCGAACAGAUAAGGAGCUUGCUCCUUUGACGUUAGCGGCGGACGGGUGAGUAACACGUGGAUAACCUACCUAUAAGACUGGGAUAACUUCGGGAAACCGGAGCUAAUACCGGAUAACAUAUUGAACCGCAUGGUUCAAUAGUGAAAGGCGGCUUUGCUGUCACUUAUAGAUGGAUCCGCGCCGUAUUAGCUAGUUGGUAAGGUAACGGCUUACCAAGGCAACGAUACGUAGCCGACCUGAGAGGGUGGUCGGCCACACUGGAACGGAGACACGGUCCAGACUCCUACGGGAGGCAGCAGUAGGGAAUCUUCCGCAAUGGGCGAAAGCCUGACGGAGCAACGCCGCGUGAGUGAUGAAGGUCUUCGGAUCGUAAAACUCUGUUAGCAGGGAAGAACAAAUGUGUAAGUAACUGUGCACAUCUUGACGGUACCUGAUCAGAAAGCCACGGCUAACUACGUG